UGGGGAAUUUUCCGCAAUGGGCGAAAGCCUGACGGAGCAAGACCGCGUGGGGGAAGAAGGUCUGUGGAUUGUAAACCCCUUUUGACAGGGAAGAAGCUCUGACGGUACCUGUCGAAUCAGCCUCGGCUAACUCCGUG
Molecule: ribosomal RNA, 137 nt
Filed under: uncultured Leptolyngbya sp.
Lineage: Bacteria; Bacillati; Cyanobacteriota; Cyanophyceae; Leptolyngbyales; Leptolyngbyaceae
Description: partial 16S ribosomal RNA
Rfam family: Bacterial small subunit ribosomal RNA
Source: RNAcentral